GAGGUGGCGAAUUGAGUAGCAGACUAGCAGUGAUGAGUUUAGUUCCGAUAUUAAAGAAGUUGAGUUUCGAGAAUGGAUAUGUAGGCCUACCACUAUCUUUUUUUAUGUUCGUUACUGUUCAUUUCUGAUGUGGAAACAUCUUCAUCCGGAUGUCCGACGUACCGGCCCUACUGUUUAUGUAUACACACACACUACAAAAAUUCUAUCCAACCUAUGUUGAAAUCACUCCCAUAAUUUCGAUCAAAAAAGCAGUGAUGAAACGUUAAUAGCUACCAGUUGUAGGUUUGUGGGAAGUAGAGAUACUAGAGAACACCGUAUGUUAGUUUCCGCAGCCUUCGCCAUUACAUCGCGUAUUAAACGCCUUUUAACAUGAGGAAGCUUUCUAAGCGUAAUACAUAAAUACUUGAGUUUUCUUUAGAAUUAAGAACGCAGUAAGUAUUCUAAGUUAUGUCGGUAAUUUGAAUAUUGUUGAUGAAAGUCUGUAUUCAUUAUAAAUUCUCGUUCAAAGCUUCAAAUAUUCAAGUAAUUGGUCGAAACAUCGUCCACACUAUAGUUGUCUAGUAUGGAUGAUACGAGUGUUAGAUACGAACUUCAAUAAUGAAUUCUUAAAUGCUUAAAAUUAAAAAAAAAAAAAAAAAUCUUCAUUGAAUGGAGUGAUAUACCACGAACUAAAAAUAAAGUAAUUGUGACCAGUGAAUGAAUACCACUGUUAGAACGCCGGAGAGUGGUUUCUGGGAUCUUCAUUGCUGACUCGGCGCGGAUAAUCAUCACGUUGGAGUCGGUUAUCUGUAUUCAAU
This is a long non-coding RNA of Daphnia pulex (common water flea), 797 nucleotides long. RefSeq lists it as uncharacterized. The transcript has 2 exons. Lineage: Eukaryota; Metazoa; Arthropoda; Branchiopoda; Diplostraca; Daphniidae. The record is from RefSeq and is a predicted model, not a curated record.